Molecule: ribosomal RNA, 498 nt
Filed under: uncultured bacterium
Lineage: Bacteria
Description: bacterial SSU rRNA
Rfam family: Bacterial small subunit ribosomal RNA
Source: RNAcentral
GAUGAACGCUAGCGGCAGGCUUAACACAUGCAAGUCGAGGGGUAGAGGAAGCUUGCUUCCUUGAGACCGGCGCACGGGUGCGUAACGCGUAUGCAAUCUACCUUAUACAGGGGGAUAGCCCAGAGAAAUUUGGAUUAAUACCCCAUAGUAUAAUUGAAUGGCAUCAUUUAAUUAUUAAAGUUCCAACGGUAUAAGAUGAGCAUGCGUCCCAUUAGCUAGUUGGUGUGGUAACGGCACACCAAGGCGACGAUGGGUAGGGGUCCUGAGAGGGAGAUCCCCCACACUGGUACUGAGACACGGACCAGACUCCUACGGGAGGCAGCAGUGAGGAAUAUUGGUCAAUGGGCGCAAGCCUGAACCAGCCAUGCCGCGUGCAGGAUGACGGUCCUAUGGAUUGUAAACUGCUUUUGUACAGGAAGAAACACUCCCUCGUGAGGGAGCUUGACGGUACUGUAAGAAUAAGGAUCGGCUAAACUCCGUGCCAGCAGCCGCGGUAAU